RNAcentral lists this ribosomal RNA (253 nucleotides) under uncultured bacterium. RNAcentral's name for it is "partial 16S ribosomal RNA". It matches the Rfam family "Bacterial small subunit ribosomal RNA", at positions 524 to 776 of the family's 1533-position model. The record is from RNAcentral.
UACGUAGGGUGCAAGCGUUGUCCGGAAUUAUUGGGCGUAAAGAGCUCGUAGGCGGUCUGUCGCGUCUGCUGUGAAAACCUCGGGCUCAACUCGGGGCUGGCAGUGGGUACGGGCGGGCUAGAGUGCAGUAGGGGAGACUGGAAUUCCUGGUGUAGCGGUGAAAUGCGCAGAUAUCAGGAGGAACACCGGUGGCGAAGGCGGGUCUCUGGGCUGUUACUGACGCUGAGGAGCGAAAGCGUGGGGAGCGAACAGG